GACGACGGCUGGCGGCGUGCCUGACACAUGCAAGUCGGACGGUUCUUGUACCUUCAAGCUUGCUUGUUGGUGCAAGGAUAGUGGCGGACGGGUGAGUAACGCGUGAACAUCUACCCAUUGGAGGGGGACAACCCGUCGAAAGGCGGGCUAAUACCGCGUAAGCCGCGAGGUGAGAGGCUGCCUAUUGGUGGCCGCCGAUGGAUGGGUUCGCGUCCUAUCAGCUGGUUGGUGGGGUAACGGCCUACCAAGGCGAAGACGGGUAGCCGGUCUGAGAGGAUGGCCGGCCACACUGGAACUGAGACACGGUCCAGACUCCUACGGGAGGCAGCAGUGGGGAAUCUUGCGCAAUGGGGGAAACCCUGACGCAGCAACGCCGCGUGAGUGAGGAAGGCCUUCGGGUCGUAAAGCUCUGUCAGAUGGGAAGAAAUGGGUGGGGGCUAAUAUCGCCCAUCCUUGACGGUACCAUCAGAGGAAGCACCGGCUAACUCCGUG
RNAcentral lists this ribosomal RNA (492 nucleotides) under uncultured bacterium. RNAcentral's name for it is "bacterial SSU rRNA". It matches the Rfam family "Bacterial small subunit ribosomal RNA", at positions 28 to 507 of the family's 1533-position model. The record is from RNAcentral.